UACAGAGGUCUCAAGCGUUGUUCGGAUUCAUUGGGCGUAAAGGGUGCGUAGGCGGCGCGGUAAGUCGGAUGUGAAAUCUCGGAGCUUAACUUCGAAACUGCAUUCGAUACUGCCGUGCUUGAGGACUGGAGAGGAGACUGGAAUUCAUGGUGUAGCAGUGAAAUGCGUAGAGAUCAUGAGGAAGACCAGUGGCGAAGGCGGGUCUCUGGACAGUUCCUGACACUGAGGCACGAAGGCCAGGGGAGCAAACGGG
This 253-nucleotide ribosomal RNA is filed under the name uncultured bacterium. RNAcentral's name for it is "partial 16S ribosomal RNA". It matches the Rfam family "Bacterial small subunit ribosomal RNA", at positions 524 to 776 of the family's 1533-position model. The record is from RNAcentral.